CCUGCUCCUAAAGGCAUUGCAGAUGUGUCUGCUAUGCCACAUAUGUGUCAGUGGAUGACAGAGAGGAGAGAGGCUAUGUAUACGCUCAGUGUUCUGACCUGUGAACAUCUGAAUAAUUAGUAGCCUAACAUU
Small nucleolar RNA from Grammomys surdaster, 132 nucleotides. RefSeq annotates it as small nucleolar RNA SNORA17. Lineage: Eukaryota; Metazoa; Chordata; Mammalia; Rodentia; Muridae. The transcript has a single exon. The record is from RefSeq and is a predicted model, not a curated record.